GAUGAACGCUAGCGGCAGGCUUAACACAUGCAAGUCGAGGGGCAGCAUGACGGAACUUUCGGGUUUUGUUGAUGGCGACCGGCGCAAGGGUGCGUAACGCGUGAGCAACUUGCCCGUUUCUGGGGAAUAACCGGUGGAAACGCCGACUAAUACUCCAUGGUACAUUUGUGAGGCAUCUUACAGAUGUUAAAGAUUUAUCGGAAACGGAUAGGCUCGCGUGACAUUAGCUAGAUGGCGGGGUAACGGCCCACCAUGGCGACGAUGUCUAGGGGUUCUGAGAGGAAGGUCCCCCACACUGGAACUGAGACACGGUCCAG
This 317-nucleotide ribosomal RNA is filed under the name uncultured bacterium. RNAcentral describes it as "bacterial SSU rRNA". It matches the Rfam family "Bacterial small subunit ribosomal RNA", at positions 28 to 334 of the family's 1533-position model. The record is from RNAcentral.